CAGCAGCCACGGGAAUACGGAGGGGGCUAGCGUUGUUCGGAAUUACUGGGCGUAAAGCGCACGUAGGCGGCUUUGUAAGUUAGAGGUGAAAGCCCGGAGCUCAACUCCGGAAUUGCCUUUAAGACUGCAGAGCUAGCAGGUGAGAGAGGUGAGUGGAAUUCCGAGUGUAGAGGUGAAAUUCGUAGAUAUUCGGAAGAACACCAGUGGCGAAGGCGGCUCACUGGCUCAUACUGGACGCUGAGGUGCGAAAGCGUGGGGAGCAAACAGGAUUAGAUACCCGCGUAGUCCCUGUCUCUUAUAC
This 301-nucleotide ribosomal RNA is filed under the name uncultured bacterium. RNAcentral describes it as "partial 16S ribosomal RNA". It matches the Rfam family "Bacterial small subunit ribosomal RNA", at positions 509 to 807 of the family's 1533-position model. The record is from RNAcentral.